UACGGAGGGGGCUAGCGGUGUUCGGAAUUACUGGGCGUAAAGCGCGUGUAGGCGGGUCCUUAAGUCGGGGGUGAAAGCCCGGGGCUCAACCUCGGAACUGCCUUCGAUACUGAGGACCUGGAGUCUGGGAGAGGUGAGCGGAAUUCCGAGUGUAGAGGUGAAAUUCGUAGAUAUUCGGAGGAACACCAGAGGCGAAGGCGGCUCACUGGACCAGUACUGACGCUGAGACGCGAAAGCGUGGGGAGCAAACAGG
This 253-nucleotide ribosomal RNA is filed under the name uncultured bacterium. Its description in RNAcentral is "partial 16S ribosomal RNA". It matches the Rfam family "Bacterial small subunit ribosomal RNA", at positions 524 to 776 of the family's 1533-position model. The record is from RNAcentral.